Molecule: ribosomal RNA, 180 nt
Filed under: uncultured bacterium
Lineage: Bacteria
Description: partial 16S ribosomal RNA
Rfam family: Bacterial small subunit ribosomal RNA
Source: RNAcentral
UCCAGACUCCUACGGGAGGCAGCAGUGAGGAAUAUUGGUCAAUGGGCGAGAGCUUGAACCAGCCAAGUAGCGUGCAGGAUGACGGCCCUAUGGGUUGUAAACUGCUUUUAUAAGGGAAUAAAGUGAGCCUCGUGAGGCUUUUGCAUGUACCUUAUGAAUAAGGACCGGCUAAUUCCGUGC